AACGCACAUUGCGCCUGCUGGUAUUCCGGUAGGCAUGUCUGUUUGAGCGUCAGCAAAACUCCUCAGCAAAUUUAUUUUGUUGGUUAUGGGUAUAGAGUAGGCUUACCGCCGCUUUUGCCUUAAACUUGCUGCACGACCGCAAGCUUAUGCUAGGUUAAUUGAGUGGUGUUUACAAUAUUCCAGCUGCCUUUUAGUAUAGCUAGUGGCGUUAAACCCGACGUUGUUUAGCCGCAACUGAAGUUUGACCUCAAAUCAGACAAGGAUACCCGCUGAACUUAA
RNAcentral lists this unclassified non-coding RNA (279 nucleotides) under uncultured Orbiliales. RNAcentral describes it as "sequence contains 5.8S rRNA gene, ITS2, 28S rRNA gene". The stretch from base 1 to 52 matches the Rfam family "5.8S ribosomal RNA", at positions 103 to 154 of the family's 154-position model. The record is from RNAcentral. Lineage: Eukaryota; Fungi; Ascomycota; Orbiliomycetes; Orbiliales.